Molecule: ribosomal RNA, 510 nt
Filed under: uncultured bacterium
Lineage: Bacteria
Description: bacterial SSU rRNA
Rfam family: Bacterial small subunit ribosomal RNA
Source: RNAcentral
CUGGCGGCGUGCCUAAUACAUGCAAGUCGAACGGCUUUUCUAUGGAAGCUUGCUUCCACUGAGAAGAUAGUGGCGAACGGGUGAGUAACACGUGGGUAACCUGCCCAUAAGAGGGGGAUAACAUCCGGAAACGGGUGCUAAUACCGCAUAGUUUUCUUGAUCGCAUGAUUGAGAAAGGAAAGACGGCCUUUGUGCUGUCGCUUAUGGAUGGACCCGCGGCGUAUUAGUUAGUUGGUGAGGUAACGGCUCACCAAGACGAUGAUACGUAGCCGACCUGAGAGGGUGAUCGGCCACAUUGGGACUGAGACACGGCCCAAACUCCUACGGGAGGCAGCAGUAGGGAAUCUUCCGCAAUGGACGAAAGUCUGACGGAGCAACGCCGCGUGAGUGAAGAAGGUUUUUUCGGAUCGUAAAACUCUGUUGUCAGAGAAGAACAAGUUGGAGAGUAACUGCUCCAGCCUUGACGGUAUCUGACCAGAAAGCCACGGCUAACUACGUGCCAGCAGCGGC